AGCAUUUCUCACAUUACCUUAGAGGCAUCUGCUUAUAGGUCUGCCUGCUUUCCCUCCCCAACAGAGUGUAGACUGCAGUUUCAGCAAGAAAGCCCUGGGGAGAAAAACCCUCCAUCCUCUUCAGGACAUUGUCCUGGCUGGAUGGGACGCCUUGGAACUAUUGCUGCUGAUGCCGGGGUUCUUGUUUGCUGAGCCGAAGAAUGAGCUUCACAGUCAAGACCAGAACUGCACGAGUGGCAAUUUCUUCCAGAUCAGUUGCAAUGUGGAACAUCAUCAGUGCAAAGGUCAACACAGUGUGAGAAUUACCAGAUACUUGCUGAUACAGACUAACUAGGAUAACCACCCUGGCGCUGGUGAAGUGAGUCUCCCUGAGAAUGGGCUUGCACCAGGAAGAUUCGACCACCACUGGUCCCUGAGCUACCCUGUACCUUGGAAACAGCACUUCCUUUCCAAAGGAUUCAGGGACGUAGGCUGGGAUUUUCCUCACUGUUCACCUAUGAGUCAACAGAGACUAGCAAAGACUUACCCCUCCGGCCUAGGCCAGUGUGCUGGAAGCCUUCUUCAUUGCCUUGCAGGGGCCAGGGUAGCCCCUGCCUGCCUGGAGAACACUGGAACAAGGGUGAUGUCUGAAAAGCUAGGGAGCUACUGCCUGGUGCUGGGGUCCCUGUCCAGAUUCCGAGUGUCAGACAUGACCCAGCAAGGCCAGCUUCUGUCCACAGCCCUUCUGCCAGCAGCUCACCUGAGACCAUCAGGCACUCCAAGAUCCAUGCAGAUCCACACUUGCUACUCAAGACAACCCAAACCGAACCAAAGAGGGAAGGGGGAGGGCAGAACGGGCAUUUCCCUGUUACUCUGUA
Non-coding RNA from Manis javanica (Malayan pangolin), 857 nucleotides. The record is from RefSeq and is a predicted model, not a curated record. Lineage: Eukaryota; Metazoa; Chordata; Mammalia; Pholidota; Manidae.